RNAcentral lists this unclassified non-coding RNA (430 nucleotides) under soil metagenome. RNAcentral describes it as "partial contains 5.8S ribosomal RNA, internal transcribed spacer 2, and large subunit ribosomal RNA". The stretch from base 1 to 120 matches the Rfam family "5.8S ribosomal RNA", at positions 35 to 154 of the family's 154-position model. The record is from RNAcentral.
GAUGAAGAACGCAGCGAAAUGAGAUACGUAAUGUGAAUUGCAGAAUUCAGUGAAUCAUCGAAUCUUUGAACGCAUAUUGCGCUCUCUGGUAUUCCGGAGAGCAUGCUUGUUUGAGUAUCAGUAAACACCUCAACUCCCUUUUCUUUUUUGAAAUUGGAGCUGGACUUGAGUGAUCCCAACGCUUUCUUCCAAGAAAGUGGCGGGUUGCUUGAAAUGCAGGUGCAGCUGAACUUUUCUCUGAGCUAUAAGCAUAUCUAUUUAGUCUGCCUAAAAAACAGAUUAUUACCUUUGCUGCAGCUAACAUAAAGGAGACUAGUUCUUGUGCUGACUGAUGCAGGAUUCACAGAGACAGCUUCGGCUGACUUUGUAAACUCGAUCUCAAAUCAAGUAAGACUACCCGCUGAACUUAAGCAUAUCAAUAAGCGGAGGA